AGGCAUCCCCAUUACCUAUGGACACGGUGCCGCAAGCCUUGCGAAACGCUCGUUUCGUGACGGCCUGCAAUCAGGGUUUUCCGUGUCCGU
Regulatory RNA element from Prosthecochloris sp. GSB1, 90 nucleotides. It matches the Rfam family "SAM-Chlorobi RNA". NCBI's taxonomy places the organism in Bacteria, Pseudomonadati, Chlorobiota, Chlorobiia, Chlorobiales, Chlorobiaceae. The record is from Rfam.